RNAcentral lists this long non-coding RNA (251 nucleotides) under Elaeis guineensis (African oil palm). Its description in RNAcentral is "long non-coding RNA (EGUI_LNC042599)". Lineage: Eukaryota; Viridiplantae; Streptophyta; Magnoliopsida; Arecales; Arecaceae. The record is from RNAcentral.
CCUUUGUGAUUCUCCAUAUUAACGGCGCAGAGCAAGAUGAUAGCUUUUGAACACCAUUCAGAGUAUCCUCUAAUAUCCGUAUGUCCUGUGCUUCUUGAGUGGCAAGCAAAUGAAUUGCCAAAAGAAGGUUUCCUUGGAGCUCUACCAAUUUUGGUUGGUGAUAUUGAUCUGCGUCAAUAUGAAUUGGAGAAGGGGACUGUUAAGAACUUCUCAUCUUUCAUACCAUAUGAUACAGUCUUCUUUGAUUUUAG